UGGGGGGGCCCCUUUUACAAUGCAGUCGAGCGGAUGAGGGAGCUUGCUCCUGGAUUCAGCGGCGGACGGGUGAGUAAUGCCUAGGAAUCUGCCUGGUAGUGGGGGAUAACGUCCGGAAACGGGCGCUAAUACCGCAUACGUCCUGAGGGAGAAAGUGGGGGAUCUUCGGACCUCACGCUAUCAGAUGAGCCUAGGUCGGAUUAGCUAGUUGGUGGGGUAAAGGCCUACCAAGGCGACGAUCCGUAACUGGUCUGAGAGGAUGAUCAGUCACACUGGAACUGAGACACGGUCCAGACUCCUACGGGAGGCAGCAGUGGGGAAUAUUGGACAAUGAGCGAAAGCCUGAUCCAGCCAUGCCGCGUGUGUGAAGAAGGUCUUCGGAUUGUAAAGCACUUUAAGUUGGGAGGAAGGGCAGUAAGUUAAUACCUUGCUGUUUUGACGUUACCAACAGAAUAAGCACCGGCUAACUUCGUGCCAGCAGCCGCGGUAAUACGAAGGGUGCAAGCGUUAAUCGGAAUUACUGGGCGUAAAAGCGCGCGUAGGGUGGUUCACCAAGUUGGAUGUGAAAAUCCCCGGGGCUCAACCCUGGGGAACCUGCAUCC
This 602-nucleotide ribosomal RNA is filed under the name Pseudomonas sp. RNAcentral's name for it is "bacterial SSU rRNA". It matches the Rfam family "Bacterial small subunit ribosomal RNA", at positions 37 to 628 of the family's 1533-position model. The record is from RNAcentral. Lineage: Bacteria; Pseudomonadati; Pseudomonadota; Gammaproteobacteria; Pseudomonadales; Pseudomonadaceae.